Molecule: long non-coding RNA, 272 nt
Filed under: Spirodela polyrhiza (greater duckweed)
Lineage: Eukaryota; Viridiplantae; Streptophyta; Magnoliopsida; Alismatales; Araceae
Description: long non-coding RNA (SPOL_LNC002107)
Source: RNAcentral
AUUUUCGUGACUUCUGGGCCUUCUGGGCCUCGUGCGACCGGCGGCGCCCCCCUGGUUGAACCCGGGGUUGACCGGAAACCCGAGGUGAUGCGCUUCUGACUGCCACGUGGCAUUCCAGGGUUAGUGGCCCGAUUAGACUCCUGAUGACUUGACUUGGCUUCUGAUCUCGAUUCGUGCAAAUCCUUUGCGUAGAGGUGUUCUUGGCGACUAAAUCCGUCGGAAUACUGGCAAUGGUAAUGCAGUACGUUGAUUCGAGCUGACGAGCGAGAAAC